UCCCGCUGCACUAAUCUGGAGGGAAAAUGAGGCUAAUCUCAAUUUUUGCCGCCAACAUACAGAACAAAGAGGUUUGGGCGCCAAACCUCUUAGACCUUUGUUAAUCCAGACGAAAAUACACAAACACGCAAAUCUCACCAUCACCCACAUCAAUCAGGAACAAGAUCCUUGGCAGAAGCACGUCAAACAAAUUCAAUAUCAGGCAAAAGAAGGAAAUUCACAAGGCUAAGGUGCAUCAAUCGGGCAGAAGCAAGGCCACCUAGGGGCUGAAGGAAAGGGGCAUCUUGUUCCCCAUGGCUUCUUCAAGCAUCGAUCCUCAAAUCCAUGAGGACGGUGAUGAAUCUCAGUGACCAAAAGUAUAGUCUUCAUGAUCUCUUUUCGUUGUUCUUUUCCUUGUAGAAUCUACUGAUUAAUUUUCCCUGCUGAUAAAGAUCAAAAAUGCCUUCAUGAUUGUAGAUUGUUAAUUCUUCCUGAUGAAAACAAAAUUGAAAAUGUCGAUCAUGAUCAUAAAACAUCUGUGUUUGCUUCGUAUAGGAUGCUACAGCUUAUGGAUCGGUUAUAAUUAUACUAGCCUUAUGCCUGGUACAUGAAGAAACUGCACAUGUCAAAAUAGAUGCUUAAUACUCAGUUAAUACUCUAGUCAGCAUAUUCUAAUAAAACAGCAGCCCGUGAAUAUUAGUCUACAUUGUUUGAUAAUACUGUUAUGACAUGGGUAAUCUUUUUUUAAUCCUUGUUUCAUAAAUCCAGUCAAAUUACGCAUGGUAAGCACAAUACAACAUAUGUGAAAAUGUGCAUUAACAAAAUUGAAUACUAAUUCAUACAGGAUGUGCAAGAAAAUGUUGCAACAAAUUGUACUGACAACAGGUUACCAAAGAUUGACAUGACAUUUUUAUCGGAAGAGGAGGCCUACUCAUUUUAUAACAAAUAUGCAAAAGCUACUGGUUUUAGCAUCCGAAGAGGGAGUCACCAUAAAGUGAAGAAUACUACUGUAAUACAACAACGGACAUUUACGUGCUCCCGUCAAGGUAUGGGUUGCUUGUAUUUUGUUUUGGUUAUACUACUAUUACUUUUGGUUUCACUAAGAUAAUUACUUUAAUUGACAGGAUUCCGUGCUGAAGAUAGCAGAGAGGAUUCUUUCAGUUACAGUAGGCCCGAAACACGAUGUGGUUGUCAAGCCCAUAUGAAGAUAAGUCUCAAAAAUGGAUUAUAUUAUGUGUACGAAUUUGAGGCAGCACAUAACCAUCCUCUUGCUACUGGAGACAUGGCCCUAUACUUAAGAUCCCAAAGGAAAGUCACAGAAGAACAAAUAGCAAACACUGAAGUCGCAAAGUCUGUGGGCAUUUCAAAUAAAGCAACUAUAGAUCUUAUGGCCAAAGAAGCAUGUGGACUUCCAAAUCUUGGGUUUGCACCCGAAGAUAUGAAAAAUCGUUUGUACUCUAAGAGAACACUGCAAGCAAAGAAAGGAGACACAUGGGGGGUGUUAGAAUACAUGGAGAAGAAGGUAAAAGAAGAUGCCAAUUUUUUCUAUUCAAUUCAAGUUGAUGAGGAUGAUCUGAUAACUAAUAUUUUCUGAGCUGAUUCGAAAAUUAUAUCAGACUAUGCAAUGUUUGGUGAUGUUAUAUGCUUUGACACCACAUAUAGGAAACUAGAUGAUGGGCGUCCCUUUGGUUUGAUUGUUGGGGUGAAUAAUCACAAGAAAACCAUGGUCUUUGGUGCUACACUUCUCUAUGAUGAAACUGCUGAAAGUUUUGGUUGGCUUUUUAGAACAUUUCUAACAGCUAUGUCUGGGAAACAUCCAAGGACUAUUCUGACCGAUGAAGAUGCAGCAAUGGCCAAGGCAACCAGUAAAGUCCUUCCUCAGUCUCACCAUAGACUUUGUGUGUGGCAUAUGAAUCAAAAUGCUUGCAAGCACCUUGCUGGGGUUGUUGAAGAAUAUAAGAAGUUCAAUGCCGAUUUCCAGCAUUAUAUCUAUGAUAUUGAGGAAGAAGACGACUUUAUAAAUGAAUGGAAUAGAAUGCUAGACAGGUAUGGACUCCGUGACAAUAUGUGGCUGCAAAGGCUGUUUGAAAAAAGGGAGCAAUGGGCACUAGUGUAUGGCAAAAAUACAUUCUCAGCCCACAUGAGCACUACCCAAAGAAGUGAAAGCAUGAAUAAUGAACUAAAGCGGUACAUUAGUAUUAAAUAUGACAUGCUUACUUUUUUUGAGCAUUUUGGGCGUCUGGUUGCGGAUAAAAGAUUUGUAGAGGUGAAGUGUGACUUCAAGGCGUCACAAACUACUCCCAAGCUGAAGGCAGAAGGUAGCUAUGUGUUAAGGCAAGCCGCAACUACAUAUACUCCCGCAAUAUUCAAGAUGUUUCAGGAGCAAGUAAUUCGGACCCUGAACUAUGACACAUUUCUUUGUGAUUCAAGUGAUAAAGAGAAGAAGGUUUACACAGUAAAAUUUCAUGGAACGCAGCGCGAGCAUGUUGUCAGUUUUUAUCCAAACGAAGAAAAGGUCAAUUGCAGUUGCAAGAAGUUUGAAUUUGCUGGAAUCCUCUGCUCUCAUUGCUUAAAGAUACUUGAUAUUAAUAAUAUCAAGCAUAUCCCUGAACACUAUAUACUGAAAAGAUGGACAAUUGAUGCGAAAGUGCUAGAGAUAACAAGCAAUCGCAAUCUGCAUGAAGAUCUAAAAGCAAGAAUGUCGAACUUUUACAAGGACUUGUGCAGAAUGUUUAUCCAUAUAGCUGCUCGCGCCGCAGAGUCCGAUGAAACAUAUGAUAUGGCUGCUAAAUGUGCAGAGCAGCUAGCACGAGAUGUGGAGCAAAGCUUGAAAAUUAGAGUUGAUCCAGACCCAAAUCCAGAUUUGGGUGACUCCUCUGUUUCGCAAGGUAUAUAGUUAUAUACUAUACUACUAGUUGCAUAGAGUAUAUUCAAAGACUUACAUUUAACUAUAUGGUUGCAGGUCCGAACAUCGACUCUACUAGAGUUUCAAAGCAUAACGAGGGGCUUCACAUGCCAAGAGGUAUAAAGGUCAAGGAGAAGACUGUACGAGGAUCAGUGAGACCCGUUGGUGGCUUGGAGAAAGCAAAAACAACGAAGAAAAAGAAGAUAGAUGAUUCUUUACGACUACAACCUGAAAUGCCUUUCACAAAUCAAAUGCCUACGUAUAACCCAAUCUUAAUGGUAUAAGAAGUCAAAGCUUUUUGACUUUAUCUCCUUUUUAAACUUGAACCACACUAAGUUUUGUUGUUAAUCUUCAUAGGGUCAAUUCAGAGAAAAUAUUGUACCAGGAUCAGCAAGACCCAUUGGUGGCUUGGAGAAAGCAAAAACAAAGAAGAAAAAGAAGACAGUCAAUUCUUUACAAGAACGACCUGAAAUGCCUUUGACAAACCAAAUGCCUGGGUAUUUACCACAGUACAAUCCAACCCAAAUGGUAUAAGAAGUUUAAUUAUUAAACUAUUUCCCAUUUUCAAUCACCUGUGACCUAAGCUUUGCUAUUUAUCUGCGUAGGUUCAACUGGGAGCUCUGCCAAGUCAUGCUUACCCCUAUUUAGCACAUUACAACUCAAGUCUGCAACAAUCCAUUGGUCUGUCGACCCCUACGAUGAUGCCAGGACAAAAUAUAUUAUUCUUCCAACAACAGACUCCUACCAGUGGUACUUCUACCCCUAUGAUAAUGGCAGGACAGAAUCUACCAUUCUUCCAACAACAGAAUCCUACCAUUGGUACCUGUAGCCCUACGAUGAUGCCAGGACAGAAUCUAUCAUUCUUUCAAUAGCAGACUCCUACCAGUGGUACUUCUACCCCUAUGAUGAUGCCCGGACAGAAUCUAUCAUUUCUCCAGCAACAAAAUCCUACCGUGGUACCUCUACCCCGGUGAUGAUCCCAGGACAAAAUCUACCAUUCUCCCAACAACAAAAGCCAGCUUAAUCAAUGUUAUAGAUUUUUAUUUCAUGUACUUCUGUGCAAUUCUAUUAGAACCUAUGAGUAUACGACCAUGGAUUGAAGGAGACUAUCUAUAUCAAUCAGCAAUUAACUGAAUAAGCAAUUUGUGACUGUGAUAAAUAUAAAAAUAGUCUUAUUUGUCUUGUAUUGAAUAGGCUUGGUUAGCAUCAGGUACAAACUGUACUAUUACCAACAUCAUAGAUUAGUUUGUCUAACCUGACAAACAGACCAUUAGUCGAUCACUAUGGUAAUGGAGCGCCACUGUCACCUGGAUGAGGAUGAGCCAAACCAUACGACUUUGCAUGCAUCGAUCUAAGGAGUAGUUUGUUCACUUAGUUGAACCUCUUUCUGGCAUCAUCUUGUAUGCAAAUAUCACCAUCAGUAGCUAAUUAACUUUCAGUUUAUUUUCAACCAGUAAACGACACCAUCAGCAUUUUGUGCAAUGCAAGAUAUUCCCAUGUCCGAAUCCACUGUGUUUGAACUAUGUAUUUUGUUGCCUCAAAAAUUAAACAUCUUUAAAAAUAUAUAAAAUUGAGCACCUUCGUUACGCAGCAAAACAGUGAUAGAAAGGAAUUAUCAACUAAAACUGAGCUAACUAGGUAUCCAGGACAUUUAGAAACUAAUUUCGGUCUAUAAUUUUGCACUCACAUAAUUUGAGCUUUUAACGAAUCACUUUAUGGAACAAAUUAAUUUGCAAGGCCCCGAUGUGCAUGUGUGCUUAAUUGGUACUCCCUCCGUAAACUAAUAUAAGAGCGUUUAGAUAACUAAAAUAGUGAUCUAAACGCUCUUAUAUUAGUUUACAGAGGGAGUACUAGCUAGCUGUUGACUUGCUCGGAUGUGAACUGAAGGGAAAAGAAACCAGAGGAGACAUCUGUAUUCUGCACAAAACAGUAGAGAGGAGGAUGGAAGGGAGCGAGGGUGAGUUGCCGUACUGACCAUGGCGCUAGUAGGCUAGGUCGGCAGCCGAAUGGCCGGUGUCGGGCCCGUGAAGACCCGCUGGAUGGCGGCCGCCCUCGUCGCUCGCCGCGGCCUCUGCCCUGCCACCGCCCGUGGUCUUCAGUGGCGGCACAACAGCCACCACCACCUCCACUAUCCCGACCCGAGCUCCACCAUGGCUGCCCCCAUCGCAGGCAACUCCAAGACCUGGCCCUUCCGCGAGGACGAAUCAAGAGGAGGAGCCGGUCUUGCGGCGGGAGAAGCCGAAAUCUGGGACGAGCGCGGCGCCAUAACUGCGGACUACGGUGAGACAAGGCAGUGGACACCGACGGACCUCCCGCCGGAGGCCGCGAAGACGCCUUGGGGAGGUAGCCGAUCCACUCGAUGCCUCCGCUCCCCACGGUCGACUGUCGGCGCGAAUACGUAUUGGGGCAAACGGAAAUACGGGAGCUUCGUGAUUUCUUUUUUGCCAGAAAAGACGCACGGGG
This 5347-nucleotide long non-coding RNA is filed under the name Triticum aestivum (bread wheat). Its description in RNAcentral is "long non-coding RNA (TAES_LNC019485)". The stretch from base 4649 to 4735 matches the Rfam family "MIR1120/MIR1122 microRNA precursor family". Lineage: Eukaryota; Viridiplantae; Streptophyta; Magnoliopsida; Poales; Poaceae. The record is from RNAcentral.